This 497-nucleotide ribosomal RNA is filed under the name uncultured bacterium. Its description in RNAcentral is "partial 16S ribosomal RNA". It matches the Rfam family "Bacterial small subunit ribosomal RNA", at positions 28 to 507 of the family's 1533-position model. The record is from RNAcentral.
GAUGAACGCUGGCGGCGUGCCUAAUACAUGCAAGUCGAGCGAACAGAUUAUGAGCUUGCUCCUCUGACGUUAGCGUCUGACUUGUGAGUAACACGUUGAUAACUUACCUAUAUGCCUGGGAUAACUUCGUGAAACCGGAGCUAAUACCGUAUAAUAUAUUGAACCUCAUUUUUCAAUAAUGAAAGAUGGUUUUGUUGUCUCUUAUAGCUUGCUCCGCGACGCAUUUGCUAUUUGGUAAGGUAACGGCUUACCAAGGCAACGAUGCGUAGCCGACCUGAGAGGGUGAUAGGCAACAUUGGAACUGGAACAGGGUCAAGACUCAUAGGGGAGGAAGAAGUAGGGAAUCUUCGGAAAGGGGCGAAAGCCUGACGGAGAAAGGCCGCGUGAGUGAGGAAGGUCUUCGGAUCGUAAAACUCUGUUAUUAGGGAAGAACAAAUGGGUAAGUAAAUAUGCACGUCUUGACGGUACCUAAUCAGAAAGCCACGGCUAACUACGUG